AAAAAAAAAAAAAAAAAAAAAAAAAAGUGCAGCUGAGUGAUGUCAGGCUGUGGGGUGGUAUUAGGUGGGGUGAGUGCCCUGGCUGAUUUUGAGAAGUUGUACCCCCAUCUGUAGGGCAUUUCAUUGUGCUAUGUUAGAGCACCAUUGACGGGAACACUGAAAGUGCCCACCUGGACCAGGCGCAUACUAGCUGCUUGCAUGUGUUGUCUCACAGCAGGAGGCCCUGAGAAUCAACAUGUGCUGCCCUGAAGACUAACCAGGAGGAUUUGGGAGGGGCCGCUAGAAGGAAGGAGAUGACCAGCCUCCCAGGAUCCUUGGUGCCGGAGUCCAUCUUGGCUGAGAGGGAAAAACUCAGCCUCCAAGAUCGUCACUGAGUUCCAAAGGAGCUAAACCCCCAACAAAUGGAAAACUGGAGAGGAGGACCACCAGCACCAGUCCUGGGGCUGCCGAACACCAACUUUGAAGAAGAAUGCAAGCUUGCAUCUACCCUGAUCCUUACCUGUGGCCCUAUUUUCUACUGCCACACUGUGUAAAAUCCCUUCCUGAUCUCUCCCAAGGUGGGGCACAGUCUUUAGGGCAUUAGCCUGCUGUGGCCUCCUUUGCUUGGCAAAGCAAUAAAGCUAUUUUUUUUCUCUUUCAC
RNAcentral lists this long non-coding RNA (640 nucleotides) under Sus scrofa (pig). Its description in RNAcentral is "lncRNA (ENSSSCG00050023154.1)". Lineage: Eukaryota; Metazoa; Chordata; Mammalia; Artiodactyla; Suidae. The record is from RNAcentral.